UACACGCUACUGAUCCCUGAUGGGAGAAUCAUCACCUCUGCCAACAAAGAAGCCUGGUGGAUAUUUGUUUGCAGUCUGAUGAUGGGACAUCAUGCUCUGCAUCUUCAAAGUUUGUCUCUUGAUUAUUAUUCAUACACAGUAAUGUGAAUUAUGCUUAUAUCUAGUAUAACUGGACCAACGUGGUGCUCUUCAUUUAUGGAGGCUGUUGAGUCUGAAUGUUGGAUGUUGUGUAUCUCGUGUUCUCUGGGCUUUGUUUUCCUCAGUCUUUUUGCAGGAUCAGAAAACAAAACCAGGAGGCGUGUAAAUGUUUCUUCUCCAGUUGGAUGAUGAUAAGACUGUGACACGGGAUGCCACCUUUAGUCUUGUGAUGAAGCAAAGCUCAGGACGAAGUGUGAUUAAAUGGUACCCACAUGUGUGCUGCUGAGAAGAAUGUACAAGGGCACCUGCAGCCAAAUCCAAGCCUCCUCAGCAACUUCAAGUCUGUCAGCGUGCUGAGGUCACAGAAACAAGAGAAGAAGCUUGACUUCAGAGUGUUGUUUACAGUUUUCUGUCAUCAUGAUCUCCCCUGAAGUUUAUCACUAUUAGGCAAGCAAGCAGAGCGGCAGUUUGUGCCCACAGAUGGUGACGGUGUGGAGAGACGGUGGUGUUUCCUCAGAAGAACUAGCAGAGUCACAAAGGGCACCAGUCCAUCUCACCACCUUGACUUGCUGACUGAUGCUCGUCUGCACUGCACAGAGGAAAUCAACUGACCGAGGAGUGUUUCUGAGUGAGGGAGAGAGGAGUCAUCAUCCAGGUAAAGUGACGUGGAACAGUGGAUACACCUGUCUCCCCUUUAAAGGAGAUACUCUUAGAGAGAGACGAUCCGAGUCAUCCCUAAAUAUGGGCAGGAUAUCAGUCUUGGACUGUCUAACCUGCCGGAGCAGCACUGAAUGAUCACCACACAUGAGCAUGUUCCUGCAACAUUCAGCAGCUUUGCUUUUGUGUCAAAUGUCAAACAGCUGGAGAGGAAACUAAACCAGUGUACUGGGAUGUUUCAGCAACACGUGCCAGACGCUGUUCCUUCAUGGUGACAUCACCAGAGACAGCCCCGCCCACCUCAGGACCUCGCCAUUGAUCAUGAUGAUUAUAAUCGGAACUAAGACUGUACAAAUCCACGACCAGAAUGUUUAGAUGCUUUCUAAUUAUUAAUGAAUACUGAGAGCCUCUUUCUGUGUUUUGUCUGUUUUGGGUUGUUUUUUUUACCUCAUUUGUUACUAACAAAGUUCACCAAACUCACACAGUUUACAUUCUGUAUGUUUCCAUCUUUACCAGCCACACUCUGCCUGCAUUUAGAAAACAAACCUUAGAAAUCGUCGUUUUUCUCUUUUGUAAUUUUGUAAUUCAGUGAAUAUACUGCACUGCUUCCUUUUAUUGCGUCACACAUUGCUUUAAAUUUUUCAGUGUCCAGUUAUUUUUUACUGCUGUUUGAAUUCACUGUAUGUUUGACCCUGUAGACUGUUUAAUGGACUGCUUGUCUUCCUGUUUGUAACCGCCGCCUGUUUUUGACUAAAGAUUUGGAUUUCUGACUUUAACACAGCCUCUGCGUGUCCUCCCUUUGUGUCCUCUUCCUCUGUGAAUGUGUUGCAUGUGUCACAGAUUCAUUUUAUUAACAGCUUUCCCACAGUGAAUUGCAUCAGCAUUCAUUCACAGCACAUUUCAAAAGGAUUCAGAUUAAUACAGUGAUCUUAUAGUCAGAAUUAUCCUGA
Molecule: long non-coding RNA, 1745 nt
Organism: Pelmatolapia mariae (spotted tilapia)
Lineage: Eukaryota; Metazoa; Chordata; Actinopteri; Cichliformes; Cichlidae
Exons: 6
Source: RefSeq, a predicted model, not a curated record